Molecule: ribosomal RNA, 404 nt
Filed under: Neoponera inversa
Lineage: Eukaryota; Metazoa; Arthropoda; Insecta; Hymenoptera; Formicidae
Description: partial 16S ribosomal RNA
Source: RNAcentral
GUACAAAGGUAGCAUAAUAAGUUGUUUUUUAAUUAAAGACUGGAAUGAAAGAAUUGAUGAAAUUUAAACUUUCUAAAAUUUAAAAUUUAAAUUUUUUUAUUAAGUAAAAAGACUUAAAUUGAUUUAUGGGACGAGAAGACCCUAUAGAAUUUUAUAUAGUUUAUCUUAAAAUUUAAUUUAAACUAUAUUUAGUUGGGAGGACUAUUAAAAUUUAAAACUUUAAUAUAUUUAAAAUAUUACUUUGAUAAAAGGAAUUUAAAAAUUAAUAAUUUAUAAUUAAUUUAAAAUUAAUUACCUUAGGGAUAACAGCAUAAUAUUUUUUUUUAGAUCAUAUAUAAAAAAUUGUUUAUGACCUCGAUGUUGAAUUAAGAUAAAAUUUGAAAGGAGAUUUUUAAAUUUUUGGU